This 484-nucleotide ribosomal RNA is filed under the name uncultured bacterium. Its description in RNAcentral is "partial 16S ribosomal RNA". It matches the Rfam family "Bacterial small subunit ribosomal RNA", at positions 30 to 507 of the family's 1533-position model. The record is from RNAcentral.
AUUGAACGCUGGCGGCAGGCCUAACACAUGCGAGUCGAGCGGAUGAAGGGAGCUUGCUCCUGGAUUCAGCGGCGGACGGGUGAGUAAUGCCUAGGAAUCUGCCUGGUAGUGGGGGAUAACGUCCGGAAACGGGCGCUAAUACCGCAUAAGUCCUGAGGGAGAAAGUGGGGGAUCUUCGGACCUCACGCUAUCAGAUGAGCCUAGGUCGGAUUAGCUAGUUGGUGGGGUAAGGGCCUACCAAGGCGAGGAUUCGUAACUGGUCUGAGAGGAUGAUCAGUCACACUGGAACUUGACCACGGUCCAGGCGCCUACGGGAGGCAGCAGUGGGGAAUAUUGGACAGUGGUCGAAAGCCUGAUCCAGCCAUGCCGCGUGUGUGAAAAAGGUCUUCGGAUUGUAAAGCACUUUAAGUUGGGAGGAAGGGCAGUAAGUUAAUACCUUGCUUUUUUGACGUUACCAACAGAAUAAGCACCGGCUAACUUCGUG